Molecule: transfer RNA, 86 nt
Filed under: Phytohabitans suffuscus
Lineage: Bacteria; Bacillati; Actinomycetota; Actinomycetes; Micromonosporales; Micromonosporaceae
Description: tRNA-Arg
Source: RNAcentral
UCGAGCCGGGGCCCGCGGGCCAGCCCGCCGGUCCGGCCGGCGGUCCGGGCGCUGGCCCGGCCGCCGGUCCGGCCGGUGGUUCGGGC